This 291-nucleotide long non-coding RNA is filed under the name Capsicum annuum. Its description in RNAcentral is "long non-coding RNA (CANN_LNC003361)". Lineage: Eukaryota; Viridiplantae; Streptophyta; Magnoliopsida; Solanales; Solanaceae. The record is from RNAcentral.
UAGGUUUCAUUAGUUAGAUUUUGAUGAAUAUUAUGAGUUUACAACACUUGAAACAUUUUCUCCCUAAGGAGAGAAGACCACCAACCCGUAAUUGUAACUAGGAAAGUCAACUUGAGUGUGGAAUUGUUCGCGUUGGAUUCAAGCUUGAAAACGUUGGAUGCUUGGGAGACCGGGGUCACUCUUGUGCCAAUGUAAGAGUUAGGUAAUUGAUGUGUGUGAUGUUAAAGGUCCAAGAGUGGAAUAGGCUUUUGGGUUGUUAAUAUUGUACCUUUAAUAUGUCUAACUAUCUAU